This is a long non-coding RNA of Triticum aestivum (bread wheat), 2517 nucleotides long. RefSeq lists it as uncharacterized. The record is from RefSeq and is a predicted model, not a curated record. The transcript has 3 exons. Lineage: Eukaryota; Viridiplantae; Streptophyta; Magnoliopsida; Poales; Poaceae.
CCCACCGGUGGAUCUCUUCUUAUCCCUUCCUCUUCCUGGCAGCAGAACAGGCGAUGCCACCCACGCACCAUCGAUGCCUUGCAGCCGACUGAUCCGGGGUUCUUCCACGCGGGCGAGCAGAGGCACCCCAUGGCGCCACCUCCUCCUCUCCUUCUCCUGGCGCGCGAAGACCUCGACGGAGCGACCUCCAUCGCGUCAUCGAUCUGGCCGCUGCCUCACCUGCGGCUCAAUCUGAUCUGGGAGAGAUGGUGAGGGGUGGGGGCGGCGGAGUAAGGGGAAAGGGAGAGGGAGAUCCGGUGCAGGACUACCGCGCUGCAGACUUGAGGCACCCAACCCCGGCCACCUCGACGACUCUGCCUCCUCAAGGACGACCUCCACCACCUCCCUGCUGCCCAGAAGCGACGAGGCCGCCGCCUCUCGGCAACUUCCCGCAGAAAUUCCCCUUCAGAUUUUUUUUUGAAUUUUAAAUUCCCCUUCAGAUAGUGGAGAGGCAUCGCUCCCAUAGUCUUCAGCAUCAGUGUCGUCACAGAUCCGUUCUCUUUUUCAUCAAGUUGGCUGGGGGCUUUGGCCACAUGACAACUUUCAUUUGAAAUAUAGAAGAUAUGAAUCAGUGAAGUUGAUGUCAUACCACUCAUGUUUCGGCACUGUGCGAACAAACUUUGAGAUCUAUAUUGCCAUCCCAACAGAUGAAAAAUACUAUGAUGGGUAUAUCAUUGACAACCAAUGGUUUUUUUAUGCUUGAAAAAUACUUCAUCGCUGCAAUAUGAUGGUAAGAUAUGUUUUGUUUUCCUCUAAGGAAACUUCAUAACUCAAACACGGUUUUAGUUUUGCAGCAUUGUAGAGUUCUUUUGAGCGUAUGGGAUUCCAAAUCAUAUUCUGAUUUUUCAUUCACAAUGCUUUCUUCAUUCCCAUUAUCUUGACCUUCAUGGUAAUAAUUGCCACCUAAAUCUAGAAAAUAAUCACUGGUUAUGUAUGGUUCAACAUUUGUGCAUCACCAGUUGUAAAGGGUUCAGUAUAUCAAUUCGUUGAAGUUUGUUGCUAUAUUCAUAUGUACAUUUCUAUCAAAUGUACAUGAUUUCAUUUUUGUUGGUGGUGUAGACUCAUUGGAUUAUUCCAUUUUUUUUGUCAAUUUGAUUGUGGGAAUGACCCAAAAUUUGCCAAAGGAGUAGUGCAGUGGGUGCUCAAAUCUUCAUAUUUCGGCUGCUUUAAAAUGAUUUGGCGUCUGCAAGUAAUGUUCCCUUCUUAUUGUGAGUAACGUGGGGCAAAAUCUUCAUGAAAUACUGUAGAGAACUAGGCCAUUACCAAUCUAGGUGCCAUCAGCUUUGUGACCAUGUUUAUUACUCUCACUUACAAUUUUGUUGUCUUUUACUUUUGGUCUGGUAAGGGAUCUUUUAUGUACCAUCUCAUGGUAGUAUUUUUUCCUUCUAAUUGUAUAGUUCAUCUAUGCUGAAAUACAUGCAAAAAAAAAUUUAAAGUGGGCCGUGUUCUUGCCCCGUUUGCUACUUGAUGCAUCUGUCCUUUUUCCUCCCAUGUCAUGACUGUCAUGUGAUCAAUCUUUUUGUUGGGAAUAGUAAUAUAUCUAUUUCUUUUUUAUCAUUUUGUUGAUCUAUUCGUCAAAAAAUAAAUAUCUAUUGCUAUUUUGUAUAACUAUGAGCUUCCUUAUUGACAUCUAUUGUUACUAAUCCAGCAGGGCUCCUGACUCCAUGGCGUGCCUUAGUCUUUUGGUGGGCAUAUUUAAAGUUGAGGGAUCUUUUAUUACAUUUCAAUUUGCUUUGGAAAUGUUCUGCCGGCUCAAGUGCUCAUGUCAAGGAAUAUAGCUCUAUUUUUCUUAGAUUUUUCAUUUGCCUUGCAAUGCUAAUGGAGAGAAGGCAACAAAAUUAUUCGAGGGAUAGAGAUUGUUAACGAAUAGAUCAACAAAUUAUUUGCCAUGGAAAUUGCUAUUUGGAGACCUGGUGCAUUCGGAAAGUCUGUAACGACCAGGUCUUGCAUCAUGUACUUCCAAACUUUGGUUGGUGCAGGAUUCCCGAUAGCAGUAGCACCUACACAUAGAACUGUACUGGAGAGUGAAAAGGCCAUGGGGAGUUCACCCUGCUGAGAGAUUCCGACGGACAAGAUCCAACGAGCGGUGUAGAGGGGAAUCCACCAAAUUCGUUGGGAAACCAAAUUGCCUUCAGCCCAUAUUUGGACACUUUAUGGAUUCAUUAUCUACCUUAAAAAGCUCCAGAAGUAUAUGGCCAUAUGGGCUAUUGCCUUGACAUCCCAGGGUCGUAGCAACUAAUUCAUACAUUGUGUUGCGCUCAUUCAUGAUACCACCCAUUCACAAACAAAGUUGCAUGCUAUACAUGUCUAUGAGAAAUUGGUGAGAUUGACAAACAAUUCUACUAGUGAUAGAGGGCAAGCUAGCUACUCCAAUGUUGGGCACAAGAGCUAAAAACAUCCAGCACUAAUUAUAUAUGUGAUGCACCGAUCAAUGUAAGUGUGAAUUAAGUUGCACAAGUGUUUCACUAGAGAAUCUAA